Molecule: ribosomal RNA, 396 nt
Filed under: uncultured bacterium
Lineage: Bacteria
Description: partial 16S ribosomal RNA
Rfam family: Bacterial small subunit ribosomal RNA
Source: RNAcentral
AUACGUAGGUGCCAAGCGUUAUCCGGAUUUACUGGGCGUAAAGGGCGUGUAGGCGGUCUUGCAAGUCAGAAGUGAAAUUCCUGAGCUCAACUCGGGCGCUGCUUCUGAAACUGCAGGACUUGAGUGCUGGAGGGGAUAGCGGAAUUCCUAGUGGAGCGGUAAAAUGCGCAGAUAUUAGGAAGAACACCGGUGGCGAAGGCGGCUAUCUGGCCAAUAACUGACGCUGAGGAGCGAAAGCGAGGGGAGAAAACAGGAUUAGAUACCCUGGUAGUCCACGCCAUAAACGAUGAAUACUAGGUGUAGGGGGUAUCGACCCCCGCUGUGCCGACGUUAACACAUUAAGUAUUCCACCUGGGGAGUACGGCCGCAAGGCUGAAACUCAAAGGAAUUGACGGG